This is a long non-coding RNA of Heterocephalus glaber (naked mole-rat), 1242 nucleotides long. RefSeq lists it as uncharacterized. Lineage: Eukaryota; Metazoa; Chordata; Mammalia; Rodentia; Bathyergidae. The record is from RefSeq and is a predicted model, not a curated record.
CUCUGGUCUGGGCAAACAUGUCAAACCCGUCCCGAGGAUUGCACUGCUGAAGUGAACUGAGGGUGCCGCUGACACUUUCUGUCCCCAAGUCUGUGACAACAAAACAAGCAAUAAUCAAGUUCAGACCCAGACCUCCAGUGGAUCCAGAGGAAUCUGACAUGGUCUUUGGCCUUAGGAAGGUCACCAAGAAGGUGGUACAGAGGCAAACAACUGCUAUGUUUGGCUGAAGGAAUUAGGGGAGGCUCAAAACUGACACAAAAUCCCUCUGUUAUGACAACAAUCCUUUCAAGGGCCUGCUCCUACCUCUCAUAGCGGAGGAAGACAUUGUUGAGGUCGUCAUUAACAUGCAGCAGCUCCUCAGUGACCUCCUCAUUGGACACACGGGAGAUGAGCUCCACAAUGCGGUGCUGCAUGGCCCGACAGGUCCUGUUCAGCUCCUAGGGAACACAAGCACCUCUGCAUAGCCUGCUGGGAAUGUCUUUUGUCACGUUCUAGUGCCUUUGAAAAGAUUUGUACUGAUUCUUAAAAGUCACAGAAGGAGUACAUGCUUCUUCAUAAAACCAGACGUGUACAGAAUACAGAGUAAAAGCUCCCUCCUUGCUGCCUGCCUCUCAUACCCCAGAGGACACAGUACUUUUUCAAAUGUCCACACAUACACACUAUUAUGUAUAGACAAGCAUGUAUUUGUGCAAACCAUUUUUAAAGUAUAAAAAUACGAUUCUUUGCAGCUUGCUUUUUCUCUUUAACAAAGUAUUUCAGGAUCUUUUCCGUAUUACUCUGUACACCACUGCCUCGUUCCUUUGUGUGCGUCAUAAUGCAUCUUACCAUUCUGCUGUUGUAGGGCACAUAGCUCUUCUUUGGGGGAACCCAAAAAAUACACUAAUGAACUUUGUACAUGUGAUGCUUAUAUCCUUGAGCAAGUGCUUCCACAGCACAGGCUCUUCAUAGGUGGAAUUUCAAGGUGGCAGUAUGUGUGACCAUUUAGAAUACCGACUGGUAAUAGUUAAAGGCUCUCCAAAAAUAUGCUAUCACUUUACUUAUACUGCCGGCAAUGGCAUGAGUAUAUUUUAUGACUGCAUUAGGGACCUUGUGCUGGCAUGACUGUCUCCUUGCCAAGGAGUUAGAAGCUCCACAAACUCCCACAUAACUCUCUGCUGGCCAAAGACAAUACUCGCAUACCCCUAGUCACCAAAGGACCCUCUUGACCCCUGGAAGCAAUAUCCUUUGAGAACGGAGCUUUAU